GAUGAACGCUGGCGGCGUGCCUAAUACAUGCAAGUCGAGCGAACAGACGAGGAGCUUGCUCCUCUGACGUUAGCGGCGGACGGGUGAGUAACACGUGGAUAACCUACCUAUAAGACUGGGAUAACUUCGGGAAACCGGAGCUAAUACCGGAUAAUAUAUUGAACCGCGUGGUUCAAUAGUGAAAGACGGUUUUGCUGUCACUUAUAGAUGGAUCCGCGCCGCAUUAGCUAGUUGGUAAGGUAACGGCUUACCAAGGCAACGAUGCGUAGCCGACCUGAGAGGGUGAUCGGCCACACUGGAACUGAGACACGGUCCAGACUCCUACGGGAGGCAGCAGUAGGGAAUCUUGCGCAAUGGGCGAAAGCCUGACGGAGCAACGCCGCGUGAGUGAUGAAGGUCUUCGGAUCGUAAAACUCUGUUAUUAGGGAAGAACAAAUGUGUAAGUAACUAUGCACGUCUUGACGGUACCUAAUCAGAAAGCCACGGCUAACUACGUG
RNAcentral lists this ribosomal RNA (497 nucleotides) under uncultured bacterium. RNAcentral describes it as "partial 16S ribosomal RNA". It matches the Rfam family "Bacterial small subunit ribosomal RNA", at positions 28 to 507 of the family's 1533-position model. The record is from RNAcentral.